AGGGCUUUAGUUUAAUUAAAACUUUUGAUUUGCAAUUAAAGAAUGUGAAGUAAUAUUUACAAGUCCUA
RNAcentral lists this transfer RNA (68 nucleotides) under Luciosoma setigerum. RNAcentral describes it as "tRNA-Ala". It matches the Rfam family "tRNA". From Rfam's summary of the family: Transfer RNA (tRNA) molecules are approximately 80 nucleotides in length. Their secondary structure includes four short double-helical elements and three loops (D, anti-codon, and T loops). Further hydrogen bonds mediate the characteristic L-shaped molecular structure. tRNAs have two regions of fundamental functional importance: the anti-codon, which is responsible for specific mRNA codon recognition, and the 3' end, to which the tRNAs corresponding amino acid is attached (by aminoacyl-tRNA synthetases). tRNAs cope with the degeneracy of the genetic code in two manners: having more than one tRNA (with a specific anti-codon) for a particular amino acid; and 'wobble' base-pairing, i.e. permitting non-standard base-pairing at the 3rd anti-codon position. The record is from RNAcentral. Lineage: Eukaryota; Metazoa; Chordata; Actinopteri; Cypriniformes; Danionidae.